This is a long non-coding RNA of Arvicola amphibius (Eurasian water vole), 451 nucleotides long. RefSeq lists it as uncharacterized. The record is from RefSeq and is a predicted model, not a curated record. The transcript is spliced from 3 exons. NCBI's taxonomy places the organism in Eukaryota, Metazoa, Chordata, Mammalia, Rodentia, Cricetidae.
AGGACAGAGUUUAUUCAAAGAGGCAGAAUUUCAAUCACAGGGGCUGGAUUUCUCAACUGUAUUUUGGAAACUUUUGCUAGUGCAUUCUUAAGACAAGGAGCCCAGAAGGGAAUUAGAAUAAUGGAGACGCUGCUAAAGGAACAGUGUGGUGCUCCCUUCGUGGAAUAAAAAUCACCAGGAAGCUGCUGCUGUGUUUACUCUUUUUUUUUUUUUUUUUCCAAUCACUUCUUGGCCGCGGCUUCAUAGGCAAAAUCACUGGAUGCCGUUUCAGGACACAGACUCAGUGGCUUAGAGAAGAGGAGACCUUCCUGCCUGAGCAUGGACUGACACUCCACUUUGGAGCCUGCUUUAAAUCAGGGGACUCAUGGAGAUGAGACCUUUUCGGCUGGAAUUUUAUGGCAUGGUCUCUUUGUGAUCUUGUGAAUAAAGGGAAGGAACAUAUCAGAUGAUA